CGCACCUUGCGCUCCUUGGUAUUCCAUGGAGCAUGCCUGUUUGAGUGUCACGUAAACCCUCACUCUUGUGAUGUCAAAGUCGCAAGAAGUGGAAUUGGACCGUGCCGUAGCCGGCUCGUCCUGAAAUGCAUUAGCUAGCGCCUUUUAGAGUGCUCGGCAUGGUGUGAUAAUUAUCUUCACCGUCGCCUUAGGCCUCUUCUACAAGUGCUGCUUACAGCCGUCCCUUGCGGACAAUUUACUUAACGCUUUGGCCUCAAAUCAGGUAGGACUACCCGCUGAACUUAA
This 285-nucleotide unclassified non-coding RNA is filed under the name Auriculariales sp. Its description in RNAcentral is "partial contains 5.8S ribosomal RNA, internal transcribed spacer 2, and large subunit ribosomal RNA". The record is from RNAcentral. Lineage: Eukaryota; Fungi; Basidiomycota; Agaricomycetes; Auriculariales.